GUCCUAGCCGUAAACGAUGGGCACUAGGUGUGGGGGGCUGACUAACUCCCUCCGUGCCGGCGCUAACGCAUUAAGUGCCCCGCCUGGGGAGUACGGCCGCAAGGCUAAAACUCAAAGGAAUUGACGGGGGCCCGCACAAGCGGCGGAGCAUGUUGCUUAAUUCGAGGCGACGCGAAGAACCUUACCUGGGCUUGACAUAUGGGGAAAAGCCGUAGAGAUACGGUGUCCUUCGGGGCCCCAUACAGGUGGUGCAUGGCUGUCGU
This 263-nucleotide ribosomal RNA is filed under the name uncultured bacterium. RNAcentral's name for it is "partial 16S ribosomal RNA". It matches the Rfam family "Bacterial small subunit ribosomal RNA", at positions 793 to 1055 of the family's 1533-position model. The record is from RNAcentral.